RNAcentral lists this long non-coding RNA (738 nucleotides) under Gallus gallus (chicken). The record is from RNAcentral. Lineage: Eukaryota; Metazoa; Chordata; Aves; Galliformes; Phasianidae.
AGUAGAUGCACGGAAGGCAGUCAAAUCUUCCUCACUACAUAGGGUGUUACUUUUUUGGGUUAACUGACACUUAAGCUCUUCCUUACGUUCCAAAUCUUUGUGCAUAAAAUAACAGGAGUUAAUCUGUUUCUGAUGUAUGGCUUUUAAUGCUGUUUCAGAAAAGGAAUCAUCCUUCCUCAUGCCCAGUGAAGGAUCCACUUUCUGACUUGCCAACUGCACAAAAUCUUUCACAUGGUUUAACAGCACUGUAAGCAGUCUGAUAGACUCCGCUCUUCUCUGAGCUAGCAGGGAUUUCCUUUCUUCCCAUUCAGGCACAUUCUCUGGACACUGCUGUUCUUCAGUUGGUACUUUGUGCUGCUUUUGGGGAUGCUUUUCAUCUCCAUCUAUCUGCCUCUCCUCUCUUCUUGAGCUUAGCUUUCUUUUUUCUCUCUUGAACUUUUUGUUCAUCAUCACGUUUUUUUCUAGGUAAUUAUCAAUAUGGGACAAUUUAGAUGACACUUGUUUUACUCUUUGAGUCCUGAGAGAUUGGAUGUCAGCCUUUAAACUGCUAAUAAUAAGCAACCUGUCACCAAGAAUCCACAUUUGACUAAUAAGAAAUGAUGGUUAUUAUGGUUAUUACAGUAACAUGUUUAAAGAAACAUCACAUAUUGAUGACACGCAUCUAACCGAUGCACACAUUUAGAACAUAUUAGUUCUGUAUUUACCUCUUCUAGUGGUUUGUAUUCUAGGGUUUUCUUU